This 253-nucleotide ribosomal RNA is filed under the name uncultured bacterium. RNAcentral's name for it is "partial 16S ribosomal RNA". It matches the Rfam family "Bacterial small subunit ribosomal RNA", at positions 524 to 776 of the family's 1533-position model. The record is from RNAcentral.
UACGGGGGGGGCAAGCGUUGUUCGGAAUUACUGGGCGUAAAGGGCUCGUAGGCGGCCAACUAAGUCCGACGUGAAAUCCCAAGGCUUAACCUUGGAACUGCGUCGGAUACUGGUUGGCUUGAAUUCGGGAGAGGGAUGCAGAAUUCCAGGUGUAGCGGUGAAAUGCGUAGAUAUCUGGAGGAAUACCGGUGGCGAAGGCGGCAUCCUGGACCGACAUUGACGCUGAGGAGCGAAAGCUAGGGGAGCAAACGGG